This is a long non-coding RNA of Carassius carassius (crucian carp), 888 nucleotides long. RefSeq lists it as uncharacterized. The record is from RefSeq and is a predicted model, not a curated record. The transcript has 4 exons. NCBI's taxonomy places the organism in Eukaryota, Metazoa, Chordata, Actinopteri, Cypriniformes, Cyprinidae.
ACCCGUCCUCAUCAAUCUGCGUAUAAAUAACACGACUUUACACUUUCUAGUUGCGUGUAAUGUAUACGCCAAAUGCCAAUUUUGCAUGCAUAUGAUACGCCAAUCCUUCACAUUAAUUUUGGUGGAAAGCAGAUGCGUCCAAAUACCACGCAUCAUCUUCAGCGGCAGUGACGUCACCAGCGAGGCUCGUCCAGUUCACCUGAUGCGCGUACACCUUCAAACAGGUAAGCAAGGACACCAUGACACACGCUCCCAAUGCUGAUUUUGAAGAAGCUGUCAAGCGGGCUGAACAAGUCCUUCAAAGGUUCAACCCUUCACAGAAAUGCCUGUCAUGAGAUUUGAAUUUGACCAUCUUGUGCAUUUAUGAAGAAGACCAAAAGCUGCAAAGGCAAACACUUCCAAUGUACAUGAUAUCUGUCCACACCUCAUAGUCUGCCUUUCUUUCUAUGGUGAUUUUACUGAACACAUCUGUCUUAGAAGCAAGAGAAUGGAAAUGCUAGUUUAACUUUUCAAGUGCUACAAAUCAGAUCUUCAAUGAAUUUGGCCAAAUCAGAUCACUUAAAGCUGUUCACACCAAGAACAAGAACUAUAAUGAGAACAAUUUUAGCAUCCACACCAACAGACAAUACUGUUCUCUCAAGUCUCUUAAAUUUUCCUCUCAUUCUGUUAAACUUAUACACAAAAUUCUGCCUUUCUCUGCCUUUUUCAUUUCAUCUUUAUCUUUUACUCCCUCACUCACACAUUAUUUUAUGCUCUGUUUUAAGGUAGAAACUGAGAGUUUGCAUGAUGGCCUUUUCUCAGACGCUGAAUCUGAUGUGUACAGAUUAACUCAGGAGCCUGCUAGAGUUGCCAGGGAACUUGAGCUUGAAUUAUAUAAUUAUAACUGCU